Molecule: long non-coding RNA, 965 nt
Organism: Bactrocera oleae (olive fruit fly)
Lineage: Eukaryota; Metazoa; Arthropoda; Insecta; Diptera; Tephritidae
Source: RefSeq, a predicted model, not a curated record
AGAACUGUCCCAAAUUUCGGCAACGUGAAAGGCAGGCAGCGCGUCACACCGCAUCGAAAUGCAUGAGACCUGCAAUAUUUUGAUUCUUUUUCUUUGGCGCUCCCCACCUGCAUUACAAAAACGCGUGUAAAAGCCAAUUGGGCACAUCGCUGGCCCUAGCUGCUGAUAAAUUGCGCUGUUGGCUCUUAUUCGUUUUGUAAUUGUGCGUCACAACAAAAUGAGCAACUCAAAGGCAUAAAGACACGACCAACAGAAUCCUACCAGCUACGAAUGCCAAAGAGACAUUUGCACAAGCAAAUGCGUCAUAAUUCACGAAUUGCUUGUAUUGUACAAUGUGGUCGAGGCAGGGGACUGAGCACUUUAGUAGGCAUCACAGCAAUGCGUGCAUCAUUAAGCGCUUAAACCCGACGAUACAGUAUCUUUAUUAAAAAUGAGUUUCGAAAAAAGUACCGCAAAUGCUGAAAUGGAUAUUGCAGCGGUGAGGGAAAAGAGAAAAUAAACAACAACAACAACGCCUGCAAGAGAGUUACGCGAAAUUAAGAAAGCAAUCAGAAAUCUGCAAACAUGGCACAGGGCAUUAUGAAAAACGCCAAAAGGCCAGCCAACAAGCUAAUGAAUUCCAAAGCCGAAACCCAAAACAAAAAAACCGAAACCGAAAACGAAUGUAACAUAAAACAGCGAAUCAGCUGAAUGCGACUUGAGUGAAACGACCAAAACAAAAAACAACAAAAAAAAAAGACGCUGGCACCAACCCGCACCCACGCUGCGACAUGAGGGUCGCUGCAGCUUGCUGCAUAAAUUGUACUGAAAAUAUUCGCCAAAUUAGCAAUAUUGAUAUAUGUAUUACCACAUCCGGUAAUAAUCAUAGAUAAAUCAGUUGGAACCGGACAUGCAAACAAUAUGUGGACUUUACAUAUUUUUAGAAAUACAAACAAAUAUCCGAAAUAAAGGAAUAAAACUAAGUA